RNAcentral lists this ribosomal RNA (253 nucleotides) under uncultured bacterium. RNAcentral's name for it is "partial 16S ribosomal RNA". It matches the Rfam family "Bacterial small subunit ribosomal RNA", at positions 110 to 353 of the family's 1533-position model. The record is from RNAcentral.
GUAAUACACAAGUAACCUGCCCUAGACAGGGGGAGUAACUAUUGGAAACGAUAGCUAAGACCGCAUAGGUACGGACACUGCAUGGUGACCGUAUUAAAAGUGCCUCAAAGCACUGGUAGAGGAUGGACUUAUGGCGCAUUAGCUGGUUGGCGGGGUAACGGCCCACCAAGGCGACGAUGCGUAGCCGACCUGAGAGGGUGACCGGCCACACUGGGACUGAGACACGGCCCAGACUCCUACGGGAGGCAGCAUG